Beta vulgaris subsp. vulgaris (sugar beet) is the source of this 288-nucleotide long non-coding RNA. RefSeq lists it as uncharacterized. NCBI's taxonomy places the organism in Eukaryota, Viridiplantae, Streptophyta, Magnoliopsida, Caryophyllales, Amaranthaceae. The transcript is spliced from 3 exons. The record is from RefSeq and is a predicted model, not a curated record.
UGGUGCGGUUAUCAGAUCAGGCCGACAGGAAGGGAAAGAAGGUAGCUUCACCUCAGGGAGGCCGACGUGCCCAAGUAAAUGUUUCUACGGCAAAGUCUCCACUCAUUACGGAUAUGGAGGUGGUGCAAGGCCUUACUCAACCGUGCUUCUGGCUACAUGAGUGCGUUAACGAUGCAAACGAUGAAGCAAUGAUUGAGAUUAAGUUGUCGGACCACCAAUUCCACUACAUUGAGGAAACAUCGACCUUUAUUUCUAAGGCUAUUAUACAAUGAUUUGAGGCGAUCUAGU